RNAcentral lists this long non-coding RNA (573 nucleotides) under Cyanistes caeruleus (blue tit). RNAcentral describes it as "lncRNA (ENSCCEG00000014867.1)". The record is from RNAcentral. Lineage: Eukaryota; Metazoa; Chordata; Aves; Passeriformes; Paridae.
GUAUUCUGACUGAUAUUUGAAAAAAAAUGAAAAGUCUGUGUUUUGUUUUUUUUAAUUUUUUGAGACAUCUCUAGAAUCUGAAGUACAUUUUGGAGCUUGAGAGGUACCUGAAAUGCAAUGGGUGUAAGAAGAAUUACUGAGUUCUCAGCAUUUGUCCUGUCUCAGGGAAAAUAUAAGGAAAGAACAGCAAAAAGGAAUAUGACAAAGAUGACAUCUUGGCAAACUCACCAAACUUAUUAUCUACAGUAAAAACCAGGAAUAUCAACCAGGCCAACCUCCUGAACAGAAGAAAAACUAAAUUGUUGAUGCAUGAGAAAACAAAUACAGUGCUUUUAUAUGUACUGUAGUUUGAGUUUUUCUUUAUAGCACUCCCUUAAAACCACUAUUGCACAGUUAUCCUAAUUACAUGGUUGCUGUCUGGCCAGCAGAAGAAGAGUUCAACAAAAUAAGCUUCAGCAAUUCUCUGAAGACUCCAUUGGACUUUGGUGUUAUUUUCUCCAGUUCUGAGCAUAACCUUGGACUGGAAAUUAUGUGAAAACAAAAAUAGAGUCAGUGCUGAAUGCUUUGAAUUUC